RNAcentral lists this ribosomal RNA (253 nucleotides) under uncultured bacterium. RNAcentral describes it as "partial 16S ribosomal RNA". It matches the Rfam family "Bacterial small subunit ribosomal RNA", at positions 524 to 776 of the family's 1533-position model. The record is from RNAcentral.
UACGGGGGGAGCAAGCGUUGUUCGGAUUUACUGGGCGUAAAGGGCGCGUAGGCGGUUUUCUAAGUUUGGUGUGAAAUCUCCCGGCUUAACUGGGAGGGUGCGCCGAAAACUGGAAGGCUUGAGUAUGGGAGAGGUAAGCGGAAUUCCUGGUGUAGCGGUGAAAUGCGUAGAUAUCAGGAGGAACACCUGCGGUGUAGACGGCUUACUGGACCAUAACUGACGCUGAGGCACGAAAGCGUGGGUAGCAAACAGG